CAGUCGCCACGGUAAUACGUAGGUGGCAAGCGUUGUCCGGAAUUAUUGGGCGUAAAGGGCUCGCAGGCGGUUUCUUAAGUCUGAUGUGAAAGCCCCCGGCUCAACCGGGGAGGGUCAUUGGAAACUGGGAAACUCGAGUGCAGAAGAGGAGAGUGGAAUUCCACGUGUAGCGGUGAAAUGCGUAGAGAUGUGGAGGAACACCAGUGGCGAAGGCGACUCUCUGGUCUGUAACUGACGCUGAGGAGCGAAAGCGUGGGGAGCGAACAGGAUUAGAUACCCGGGUAGUCCCUGUCUCUUAUAC
Molecule: ribosomal RNA, 301 nt
Filed under: uncultured bacterium
Lineage: Bacteria
Description: partial 16S ribosomal RNA
Rfam family: Bacterial small subunit ribosomal RNA
Source: RNAcentral